Molecule: ribosomal RNA, 1047 nt
Filed under: uncultured archaeon
Lineage: Archaea
Description: SSU rRNA
Rfam family: Archaeal small subunit ribosomal RNA
Source: RNAcentral
UACCAGCUCCUCGAGUGGUUGGGACGAUUAUUGGGUCUAAAGCGUCCGUAGCCGGUCAGAAAAGUCCUCCGUUAAAUCCAGCGAUUCAAUCGUUGGGCUGCGGGGAAUACUCUCUGACUUGGAGGCGGGGGAGGUCGACGGUAGUCCAGGGGUAGGGGCGAAAUCCUAUAAUCCCUGGAGGACCACCAGUGGCGAAGGCGGUCGACCAAAACGCGCUCGACGGUGAGGGACGAAAGCUGGGGGAGCGAACGGGAUUAGAUACCCCGGUAGUCCCAGCUGUAAACGAUGCGGGCUAGGUGUUGGGACGGGUACGUCCCGUCUCGGUGCCGCAGGGAAGCCAUUAAGCCCGCCACCUGGGAGGUACGGCCGCAAGGCUGAAAUUCUGAGAGAUAAGCAAUUCCGAAAAGUCGCGGAUGUUCACAAUUGCUCCGCUGACUGAAGAACUGGUUGACCAAGAUCUUGGUUGUUUUCUUCGAACCUCAGAGUAUCCGUGAUAAUCAGAAUUACUUUCAACAGGUUUGUGGAUCGAGGUCACUUGGUGAAUCUGUCUCUCAGGACAGCAGACUUAAAGGAAUUGGCGGAGGAGCACCACAAGGGGUGAAGCUUGCGGUUUAAUUGGAGUCAACACCGGGAACCUUACCAGGAGCGACAGUUGAAUGAAGGUCAGAUUAAAGGUCUUACCGGACUAUCUGAGAGGAGGUGCAUGGCCGUCGCCAGUUCGUGCCGUGAGGUGUUCUCUUAAGUGAGACAACGAACGAGACCCGCGCUCUUUGUUGCCAGCGGAUUCCCACGGGAAUCCAGGCACACUAAGGGGACUGCCUUCGCUAAGAAGGAGGAAGGAGCGGGCCACGGCAGGUCAGUAUGCCCCAGAUCUCCUGGGCCACACGCGAGCUGCAAUGGCUGGGACAAUGGGCUCCGACAUCGAAAGAUGAAGGCAAUCCUCAAACCCAGCCUCAGUUGGGAUCGAGGGCUGCAACCCGCCCUCGUGAACAUGGAAUCCCUAGUAACCGCGUGUCAUCAUCGCGCGGUGAAUACGUCCCUGCUCCU